CCGACCACGAGCCGCACCAGCCCUAACCCCUCCUCGUCGAAUCCACCCAAAAUACUCCCUUCGACCUUCGAUUUGGUGGCGGAGCGGAACCCCGAUGCUCCUUCACGCCCUCUCGCGGCUGCGGUGCCGCCGGCUUUCGCGGAGAAGAGCAGCUUUAAACAGGUGAAUUUUUUAACACUCAAUUCUUCAUGCUCUCAGUGCAUAAUGGAUAUAAAGCCAUGGUUUCAUAUGGAAGGUAGAAUGUUGCUCAGCUAUAAAUAUUUCCUUGCAGAUUUUUUUUUAUUUAAUACACUAGCAUCGGUAGCAUUUCUAAGGCUGACAAACUAUCACGAUAUAUAAGUUAAAGCUCAAUUAACACAGGUAUAAGUUUGAGCUCUUUUUAUAACUUACAAAUAUUUUUAUACGCCCUCUGAGUUAUUAUUGCUCCUACAUGAACUUAACAACUGUUAAGACAUGUUCUUAGGGGCCAUAUGGUACUGGACGAGUUAAUCUGUCGUGAUGAAUCCUAAAUUAAUAUUUCUUUCCUAAUUUUUAACUUGGUAUAGGAUGGAUAUUUGAUAUACUACAGUUUUACAACAUAUUCUUCAUUAGCUGAUACGUCCUGGUAGCUAAGAAAAGUUAGUGAUGUAGUGCAUUAUGCAUAUCAUGAACAUGUGGUUAUUUUUAGUGAACUUACUCGCACAAAAAUGGAAGUCUGAAACAUGCUCUUUUUUAUUUUUUUAAUUUGAGAUUACCAUGAACUGUUCAUAUUUCUUAAGAAAUACUAUGUUAUAUCAUAUUUGCUUGUACUGCCAUAGUAUCUGAGAAGCGUAUUGUAUUCUUGUCCUUGUGAGGUGAAACAUUGUCUAUUUAACAUGGGAUAUGAACUACAUAGCAGUAUUAUUGUGGUGGAUGCCUGCUUGGGCUCAGUUGUAAGUAACAUUGUCUUGCACUGUGUUGGAAAAAGGAUGAAUUGCUUCCAUCAUGCAAUUCUCUGAACAAACCGAGAAGGUGAACAAGGUGUGAGAUGACCAUUCUUGAAGAUAAGCUGUAAUCAAUAAUCUGGACGAGGUAAAUGAGUUGUUAGCGAAGAAAUACAAUCUCAGAACGAACGACAACGAACGGGUGGCUCUGGGCAUGGUGCCGCUCCGACAAUAACAUCCGUCACUUUCAUUUGGCUUCAUCGUGCCAAUCUUUCUUUUUGUAUCGGUAGGUUUAUGAGAUUGUAUUAACCGGACUUUUGACGUGGUUAACGAUAUUGCAGCUCGCAACUUAUGUGUUUGUCAGACAAACCGAGGAUGCACACAUCGUUAGAUUAAUUUUACUGAAA
Panicum hallii is the source of this 1309-nucleotide long non-coding RNA. RefSeq lists it as uncharacterized. The transcript is spliced from 4 exons. The record is from RefSeq and is a predicted model, not a curated record. Lineage: Eukaryota; Viridiplantae; Streptophyta; Magnoliopsida; Poales; Poaceae.